Molecule: long non-coding RNA, 497 nt
Organism: Manis pentadactyla (Chinese pangolin)
Lineage: Eukaryota; Metazoa; Chordata; Mammalia; Pholidota; Manidae
Exons: 2
Source: RefSeq, a predicted model, not a curated record
UCUGUCACAGUUUCCUAGCCAGUGAGUUGCAACAGUUUAGCCCAUCCCAGCACUGUCUUUGUGAGUGAUGAGUGACUCAGUUUAAAAGUCCUCACCAAGUUUGACACUCUGAAAAUGGAGGCUGGAGGUUGGAGUCAUGAUCCAGGAAGCUGCACACCUCCGCUGCCCUCUUCUAGGUGAAACAGGCAGGAAGCAAGAAUGGAUGCAUCCAUCCUCAGACAUCUCAGACCCGAGUUUCCCCGUGAGAGGAGGAAACAAAGACAUAGACAGCUUAAGAAAUCAGCCUGCUGACUCCCACUGGUGAGUGACAGAUGGGGCUGAAAGCAAGCCCACACCCUGAUGCCACCACACUGCCCCCGCGCCUGAACUGUGACCUGACAUACCACAGUGCCUCUCCCCAGCUUUGGGGAGGUUUGGAAAAGUGUUCUUAACAUGCCUGGAGGGCAAUAGGUGUUUAAAAAAUGUCAGCUCCUGUUGCUGUCACCUUCUAACUCCAA